GAUGAACGCUAGCGACAGGCUUAACACAUGCAAGUCGAGGGGCAGCGGGGUAGUGCUUGCACUACUGCCGGCGACCGGCGCACGGGUGAGUAACACGUAUGGAACCUGCCCGCAGCAGGGGGAUAAGCGGAAGAAAUUCCGUCUAAUACCGCGUAACAACGUUGGGAGGCAUCUCCCGAUGUUUAAAGAUUUAUCGGCUGCGGAUGGCCAUGCGGCGCAUUAGCUAGUCGGCGGGGUAACGGCCCACCGAGGCGACGAUGCGUAGGGGUUCUGAGAGGAAGGUCCCCCACACUGGUACUGAGACACGGACCAGACUCCUACGGGAGGCAGCAGUGAGGAAUAUUGGUCAAUGGCCGAGAGGCUGAACCAGCCAAGUCGCGUGAGGGAAGACGGCCCUACGGGUUGUAAACCUCUUUUGUCGGGGAGCAAAGCGAACCACGUGUGGUUCAUUGAGAGUACCCGAAGAAAAAGCAUCGGCUAACUCCGUGCCAGCAGCCGCGGUAAUACGGAGGAUGCGAGCGUUAUCCGGAUUUAUUGGGUUUAAAGGGUGCGCAGGCGGAGGUGCAAGUCAGCGGUCAAAUUGCGGGGCUCAACCCCGUACUGCCGUUGAAACUGCAUCCCUUGAGUGCGCGAGAAGUAUGCGGAAUGCGUGGUGUAGCGGUGAAAUGCAUAGAUAUCACGCAGAACUCCGAUUGCGAAGGCAGCAUACCGGCGCGCAACUGACGCUCAUGCACGAAAGCGUGGGUAUCGAACAGGAUUAGAUACCCUGGUAGUCCACGCAGUAAACGAUGAACACUAACUGUUCGGCCAGAAUGAUGGCUGAGUGGUACAGCGAAAGCGUUAAGUGUUCCACCUGGGGAGUACGCCGGCAACGGUGAAACUCAAAGGAAUUGACGGGGGCCCGCACAAGCGGAGGAACAUGUGGUUUAAUUCGAUGAUACGCGAGGAACCUUACCCGGGCUCAAACGACACAGGAAUACUUUUGAAAGGAGGUAGCCCUACGGGGUCUGUGUCGAGGUGCUGCAUGGUUGUCGUCAGCUCGUGCCGUGAGGUGUCGGCUUAAGUGCCAUAACGAGCGCAACCCCUAUCGCCAGUUACCAUCAAGUAAAGUUGGGGACUCUGGCGAGACUGCCGGCGCAAGCUGAGAGGAAGGCGGGGAUGACGUCAAAUCAGCACGGCCCUUACGUCCGGGGCGACACACGUGUUACAAUGGCAGGUACAGAGAGAAGCCAGGUGGCGACACCGCGCGGAACUCGAAAGCCUGUCUCAGUUCGGAUCGGAGUCUGCAACCCGACUCCGUGAAGCUGGAUUCGCUAGUAAUCGCGCAUCAGCCAUGGCGCGGUGA
This 1345-nucleotide ribosomal RNA is filed under the name uncultured bacterium. RNAcentral's name for it is "partial 16S ribosomal RNA". It matches the Rfam family "Bacterial small subunit ribosomal RNA", at positions 28 to 1365 of the family's 1533-position model. The record is from RNAcentral.